CAGCAGCCGCGGUAAAACAGAGGGUGCGAGCGUUAAUCGGAUUUACUGGGCGUAAAGCGUGCGUAGGCGGCUAAUUGAGUCGGAUGUGAAAUCCCCGAGCUUAACUUGGGAAUUGCAUUCGAUACUGGUUAGCUAGAGUGUGGGAGAGGAUGGUAGAAUUCCAGGUGUAGCGGUGAAAUGCGUAGAGAUCUGGAGGAAUACCGAUGGCGAAGGCAGCCAUCUGGCCUAACACUGACGCUGAGGUACGAAAGCAUGGGGAGCAAACAGGAUUAGAUACCCGAGUAGUCCCUGUCUCUUAUAA
RNAcentral lists this ribosomal RNA (301 nucleotides) under uncultured bacterium. RNAcentral's name for it is "partial 16S ribosomal RNA". It matches the Rfam family "Bacterial small subunit ribosomal RNA", at positions 509 to 809 of the family's 1533-position model. The record is from RNAcentral.